Long non-coding RNA from Oreochromis aureus, 782 nucleotides. RefSeq lists it as uncharacterized. NCBI's taxonomy places the organism in Eukaryota, Metazoa, Chordata, Actinopteri, Cichliformes, Cichlidae. The transcript is spliced from 4 exons. The record is from RefSeq and is a predicted model, not a curated record.
CGCAGAGCGGCAGAGAGGAGGCGACAAAACAGCAGCAGCAGGCGGAGGAGGAGAUCGCAGUCUGGCGAUGUGACGGGUCGUCAGCUGUACCAAGUGUUACCGGUGUUUUCUUGGAUUGUGUCUGACUGAAUGUUUGAGCAAGUGUCUGGGAGAGAACACAGUGCAUGCAGUGGUAGAGGGGGACGUGGAUAUUGAAGUGCUUCCUCAUCGCCACGAUUACCAUGUCAGACCAGAACCAGCAGCUUUGGAUACAGCAUGUGAAAUAAUAGAGGCUCAGCGGCUGUGGAUAGAAGAGCUGAGAAAGAGACUGAAGGAGGUCUCAUUGAAGCAGUCAUUUGGGUUGGAGAGGUUUUCGGCAUUGGAUGAAGACAUCAGAUUCUAUACCAGUGCAAUAUCAGCUCCUGACAAGGCCGCUGAUCCACUUCACUGACCAGACUUGUCUCCCCUGCUCCAGUCCAUCAGAACUGAUGCGUUCCAAUGAUUGAUGAACUGUUCCUGUUGGUGUACCUGUCUCUGGGUCUGAAAGAGAAAGAUCUGGAUGACCGUUUCAACAUUCAGCAGUCCACAGUCAGCAGGAUCAUCAAAACCUGGGUCAGAUGGUUGUCUCCUGAGAUGAUUAGAACCACCAUGCCAAGUGUGUUUGGAAAGUACUCUGACACCCAAGUCAUUGUUGACUGCAUGACUGUGAGAUGUCAAAUGUCUUCAUCUUUACUCUUACAGAUUGAGAUGUUUUCACAGUACAAAUUGCACACUACCCUGAAAGAAAUGUUUCUUCAUUGUAU